Small nucleolar RNA from Lycium ferocissimum, 92 nucleotides. The record is from RefSeq and is a predicted model, not a curated record. NCBI's taxonomy places the organism in Eukaryota, Viridiplantae, Streptophyta, Magnoliopsida, Solanales, Solanaceae.
UGAGAUGAUGAUCACACUGGGCUCUGAGCAGUUUAUAAAAACUGUUUUUAUUGAUGCAUAAUUGCAGCCUAGAAAAAAAGAAAAACAGAAAA